CACGCCGUAAACGAUGAGCACUAGGUGUCGGGGUCGCAAGACUUCGGUGCCGCAGUUAACGCAUUAAGUGCUCCGCCUGGGGAGUACGCACGCAAGUGUGAAACUCAAAGGAAUUGACGGGGACCCGCACAAGCAGCGGAGCAUGUGGUUUAAUUCGAAGCAACGCGAAGAACCUUACCAGGGCUUGACAUCCCUCUGACAGGUGGGUAACGCCACCCUCUCUUCGGAGCAGAGGUGACAGGUGG
Molecule: ribosomal RNA, 245 nt
Filed under: uncultured Anaerovorax sp.
Lineage: Bacteria; Bacillati; Bacillota; Clostridia; Peptostreptococcales; Anaerovoracaceae
Description: partial 16S ribosomal RNA
Rfam family: Bacterial small subunit ribosomal RNA
Source: RNAcentral